Molecule: long non-coding RNA, 888 nt
Organism: Haplochromis burtoni (Burton's mouthbrooder)
Lineage: Eukaryota; Metazoa; Chordata; Actinopteri; Cichliformes; Cichlidae
Exons: 3
Source: RefSeq, a predicted model, not a curated record
UGUAGUUUAAAGCUCUUUGACAAUAAAGACAACCAAAGAAAAAAAUGUGAGUACAUUGAUCUAUUUAUCUCGCCUACCUCGCACUUAGUAUGUCCACCAGUGAAAAUGUGUCUGUAGAGGACUAUUUCCUGUUGUUGGCCACGUUCGGUGAAUGCCCUGUGUUAAAGUUGCUGUGUAGAAUCCAAUUUUUCCAGGGUCAAUAGUCUAAUAUCUAAACCUAAUAUCUUUUGAGUGAGGCAUAUACCCCCACAAUCUGAGUACAGAAGAUAACAAUUUCUGCCAUUAGAGGUUCAACAUACACAUCUGUGGAUGCAUCAAAUGUUUCUCUCUGUCUGUUUUAGCUCUGACAACCAAUCCAGGCGCACCUUAUGAUAGUGGGAUGGACUCCAGAAUACCCAUGACCUUUAAGCAACAAAGAAGAUGUCAUGGUCCGCGGCCCGGCGUCCGAGGUGCGGAUGGGAUGCCCACGCCCACGGGCGUGGCUGCUAACUCCACACCUGCAUCCCAUCCCAGGCGAUCACCAGGUGGACUAUUUAAUCCUGCCCAGCCUGCCGCUCCACGGCAGUCCGUAGUCGCCUCUCAGCGAUCUCAACUCGGCGUGUUUUGAGCCACCUGCCUGUCCACCUGCCCGUCUGGAAUUUGGAUCUCGAUCAGCACUCGCCGCCUCGACUUUUCUGGAGCUCCCCCGCGGACCCUCACCCCUCCCUCCGGCUCCCUCGGCCCCGCUAUCAUCCCUCCCACAGCCCUGCUCUCAGCGUUCCCUGCGCGACUCACCUCCCCGGUCCCUCUGUGUUUUCUGGUUCCAUACGUUGUUUUUUUCCGGCUACCCUCACGGGACACCUUUAGUUAUAAUAAAAUUUGGUUUCUUUAUUCUCUCCUACCCUGGUG